CACAGUUCUGGAAGCUUUGAAGUCCAAGAUGAAGGUGGCAGCAGCUUGAGUGUCUGAAACAAGAAGAAAUGGAAAAUAACUGUAGCACGUUUAUGACAUUCGUUUCUUUCUCCACAUGAAACAUACAAUGAGAACACUUUAUAGAUGAAUUGUGUCUUCAAUUGAAUAGAGAAUGGUGGACUAGCUUUGGUUUUAUGGAAUUGGAUAAUUUGUCAUAGUUUCUGCCCCUGGAAAAAUGAGAACCCAAAGGAAAACAAGGGGAAAAACUUUAAAAAAAUCGUGAUAUAAUACACAGCUGAUAUUUUUGGUUCAUAGAAUACUUUAAAGUACAUAAUUUACAAAGCAAAUUACUAAAUUAUAAGAAAUGCUGUCAUCAUCAAUAAACAUUCACAGAGCUUCAGGUUUUAACACAAAGCAUUCCUCUUAUUUCAGGUGAUAUUAUUUAUGAAAAAAAUUACUUGGAGAUUGCUCCAAGGUUAUCACAUUCUUUUCUAACCACCAAUUAUUAUUUACUAUUAUUAGUUAUUAUUUAUAAAUACAUAUGAAUACACAAUGAAAGCAUGCUUUAUGUAUAGCAUAUAAAUAUAUUUGAACUUUACUUUCCCCACAUACUAUCUAUCCUGCAAUAUUACAACACCAGUAAAAGAGUAUCUAAAUAUUAAUUGCUCCUAUCACAAUAGUGGAAACUAGAAGAGAUAAGUUUUCCCAAAUCUGAGUAGAAAACCAUGGUUAGCUGAUAUCCUUUGUCCAUUUACGGAAUUAUAGCAAUAAAAUCCAGCCAAUAAUUUUUAGUUUGCUUAUUAUGUAGUGGCAAAACAUAAUGUCUUUUUCUCACCCAUUACAAGGGUCACAGCUGACACGCCUAUAACAAAAACCAGAUGAACAAGAAAAAUGCAUAACGUGUUCAUUUAAUAAAGUUUUAAGUGACGUGGGAGCCUUCA
RNAcentral lists this long non-coding RNA (941 nucleotides) under Pan troglodytes (chimpanzee). RNAcentral's name for it is "lincRNA". The record is from RNAcentral. Lineage: Eukaryota; Metazoa; Chordata; Mammalia; Primates; Hominidae.